Molecule: transfer RNA, 74 nt
Filed under: Chloroflexota bacterium
Lineage: Bacteria; Bacillati; Chloroflexota
Description: Chloroflexi bacterium (hot springs metagenome) tRNA-Arg
Rfam family: tRNA
About the family: Transfer RNA (tRNA) molecules are approximately 80 nucleotides in length.
Source: RNAcentral
GCCCCUGUAGCUCAGAUGGACAGAGCAGCGGUUUCCUAAACCGCGUGUCGUGAGUUCGACUCUCACCAGGGGCA